UACGGAGGAUCCAAGCGUUAUCCGGAUUUAUUGGGUUUAAAGGGUGCGUAGGCGGCUUUUUAAGUCAGGGGUGAAAGACGGUAGCUCAACUAUCGCAGUGCCCUUGAUACUGAAGAGCUUGAAUGAACUAGAGGUAGGCGGAAUGUGACAAGUAGCGGUGAAAUGCAUAGAUAUGUCACAGAACACCGAUUGCGAAGGCAGCUUACUAUGGUUUAAUUGACGCUGAGGCACGAAAGCGUGGGGAUCAAACAGG
RNAcentral lists this ribosomal RNA (253 nucleotides) under uncultured bacterium. Its description in RNAcentral is "partial 16S ribosomal RNA". It matches the Rfam family "Bacterial small subunit ribosomal RNA", at positions 524 to 776 of the family's 1533-position model. The record is from RNAcentral.